This 410-nucleotide ribosomal RNA is filed under the name Mychonastes homosphaera. RNAcentral's name for it is "partial large subunit ribosomal RNA". It matches the Rfam family "Bacterial large subunit ribosomal RNA", at positions 2078 to 2486 of the family's 2925-position model. The record is from RNAcentral. Lineage: Eukaryota; Viridiplantae; Chlorophyta; Chlorophyceae; Sphaeropleales; Mychonastaceae.
GGACAGAAAGACCCUAUGAAGCUUGACUGGACUCUGGAAUUGAGUUCGGGCUUUUCUUGCGCAGUCUAGGUGGGAGGCGUUGAAGAUUUCCUUCCGGGGAAGUUGGAGCCAUCAGUGAGAGACCACUCUGGGAAGGCUAGAAUUCUAAUGGUGUUCCUUAUAUCAGGACACUUGACAGUUUCAGAUUGACAGUUUAUCUGGGGCGGAUGCCUCAUAAAAAGUAACUGAGGCGUGCAAAGGUUCCCUCAGUCUGGACGGAAAUCAGACAUUGAGUGUAAAGGCAAAAGGGAGCUUGACUGCAAGACCUACAAGUCGAGCAGGAACGAAAGUUGGCCUUAGUGAUCCGACGAUGCCGUGUGGAAGGGACGUCGCUCAACGGAUAAAAGUUACUCUAGGGAUAACAGGCUGAA